UGAUUUUGCAGAAUUCUGCAGUAUUAUGGGGUACUUUGAAUUUUGUAAAUCUGAUAAUUUUUGAUUCAGAUGAUUGAGACGGAAGUUUUAAAAUGACGUGGAUUUUAAACGAUUUUUUAAGUAGACCUUUUUUCCUUUGUGAGAGGAAAAUUUUGCUUAUUACUAGCAAAAUUUGAAAUUUAGAACGGCGCGGCGUGUUGUGCACGACAGUUCUUUUUGUAUUUUGGUGGAUCGGUUUUCGGGCUUUUUUAAAAAAAUUUUAAAAUUGGGAUGAGUGUUAUAAUAUAUGAGUUCUAAGAUUAUUCUUUGUAUUAUAAAUAUAUAUUAUAGCUAAUGUGAGAAGGUGUCACGGUGAAGAAGAGGUAAAGAAGAGAUCCAACGAGGAAGGAGUAACAGAAGGUGUGUUAGAGUAACAGUGCUGUGUAGAAGGUGUACCAGCCUGCGAAGUCCUUCGUGGAUAGUGUAGUAGAACACCGGUGUUUUUAGUGUGUGUGUGUAGUAUUGUAGUGGAGUGUGGAACGAAGAUAAGAAGAUAUAGUAAACAGUAGCUAGGAGUGUAAGUAGUAGUCAACUAGAAGAAAGAAGAUAGUAACGAAGAAGUGUAUUUUGUAUAAACAUAGUUUUAGUAAUAUAUUUUAGUAGGAAGUAAAGACUUUUAGUUCGGAUAUUAUUUGGUGAUAUUUUAGUGUAGUAGUUUUAGUAAGUAGUUAGUUAGUAGUUAGUUUAUAGUGGGAAUCGGGUACAGGUCUAGGGAGGUUAGUGAGUAAGUGAAUUAUUAUAAUAUCUAGUGUUAAUUUAUUAACACCUUCUAUUUCAGUUUAUUUAUUAUAA
Molecule: long non-coding RNA, 831 nt
Organism: Bolinopsis microptera
Lineage: Eukaryota; Metazoa; Ctenophora; Tentaculata; Lobata; Bolinopsidae
Exons: 2
Source: RefSeq, a predicted model, not a curated record